GGGAGUAGGCCUUCCGGAGUCUGCUUGCAGGAGCUGGCUCCAAACCACCCGGUGCUGCUGCGUUCAAAAGGCGUGGUGGUGAGCGACCGUUGGAAAAGGCGCCGAUAACGGCGUCAGGU
This 119-nucleotide non-coding RNA is filed under the name Pseudomonas indica. The record is from RNAcentral. Lineage: Bacteria; Pseudomonadati; Pseudomonadota; Gammaproteobacteria; Pseudomonadales; Pseudomonadaceae.